CCCUUAGAUGUUCUGGGCCGCACGCGCGCUACACUGACGGAUUCAACGAGCUUACAACCUUGGCCGAAAGGUCUGGGUAAUCUCCAAAACCCGUCGUGAUGGGGAUAGAUUAUUGCAAUUAUUAAUCUUCAACGAGGAAUGCCUAGUAAGCGCAAGUCAUCAGCUUGCGUUGAUUACGUCCCUGCCCUUUGUACACACCGCCCGUCGCUCCUACCGAUUGAAUGGUCCGGUGAAGCGUUUGGACUAUGGUUUUCUGAUGGUCCGCCGUUGGAUUACCGUGGGAAGUUCGUUAAACCUUAUCAUUUAGAGGAAGGAGAAGUCGUAACA
This 327-nucleotide ribosomal RNA is filed under the name uncultured eukaryote. RNAcentral's name for it is "partial 18S ribosomal RNA". It matches the Rfam family "Eukaryotic small subunit ribosomal RNA", at positions 1470 to 1796 of the family's 1831-position model. The record is from RNAcentral.